This is a non-coding RNA of Equus caballus (horse), 4811 nucleotides long. NCBI's taxonomy places the organism in Eukaryota, Metazoa, Chordata, Mammalia, Perissodactyla, Equidae. The record is from RefSeq and is a predicted model, not a curated record.
AUUUGAAUGAAGGAAAUUGUGUCCUGCGGCUUCCCGUCCCUGGGCUGGCCUCUGUUCUCCCUCCCUAUCUGAAGUAGGAGCGGACGCUUCGCCGGAAACACACAUUUUUAACGGUUUUUUGCCCCUUUUCAAGCGGAGCGGGCCCGUGUAGGCCUCGGAGGUCCUUCAGACGGUCGGCUCUAGACUGUUUCUUCCUUGAGGGUCUCCAUAAAAAGCGCUGCUUCCGUCCUCCCGCUCGCUUUCCUCUCGGAUGCUGCGAGGGGAAGGGUUUCCGAGGGUAGAAAACGGUGCGAGUGACGGGGCCGUCUUAAAGGAUGCUGAAGGACCACAGUUGCCGCGUCAGGCCCGUGCGCUCGCGGGAAUUUGCCGUGGAAAGCUUUUGUGUGAGAUUAUCCGCGGCCUCGGGGAGACCGCUCUUCCUCCAUCUCGACGUGCGGACCAUCGAGUUGUCCCUGGAGCCUCUGUGCGCCGAGCUCCGUGCUGCUGGCGUGCAUGUGUGUUGGGCGCGGGAUGCGGGAGGAGAACUGACAUGCUGCCCCUGAUGCUCGCGCGUAGAAGAGAUAGUUGGAGAGACUCAGCCACCGCAUUAAACACAGAGCCGGUGUAGGCCCUUCUCUGGUGCAGGAAAGAGAGAGGAGUGUGGUCUCAAAGAGGAGGGACGACCUGGAGGCUGUGACUCCUGGUUUGAUCUGGAAAAGAUAACCGAUCUUUCCGGCGAAAGCACAAGCAACUUUUUGGAAAUGGAUGGUAACGGUGAAAGAGCAUUGCAGAGAAGAAACACCGUGGGACAAAGGCUCGAGAGGGAGUGGGUGUUACACUGGGAGUUCACUGAAGACAGCACUCUAACUGAAACGGGGGCGGGGGACGGGGGAAAGACAGACCACAGGACCGGAAAGUCAGGUUUGAUAAAUAGGAUGGGGAUUUUAAAAAAAUUUUUAGUAGUGGUAAAAUACACAUAACAUAAAAUUUACCAUCUUAACCACUUUUAAGUGUACCCUUCAGUAGAGUUAAGUACGUUUACAUUGCUGUGCAACCAUCUCAGGAACUCUUUUCCUCUUACAAAAGUGGAAUUCUAUAGCCAUUAAACAACUUCUCCUAACCCCCUUCUGCCAGCUCUUGGCAACCGUUCUACUUUUUGUCAGUUUGACUAUGCAGGUGCUUCAUAUGGGUGGAAUCAUAUAGUAAUUGUCUUUGUGCAACUGGCGUAUUUCAUUUAGCGUAAUGUCUUCAGUGUUUCUCCGUGUUGUAGCAUGUGUCAGAAUUUCCUUCCUUUUUAAGGCUGAAUAAUAUUCCAUUGUGUGUACAUACCACGAUGGACACUUAGGUGACUUCUACCUUUUGGCUAUUGUGAGUAAUGCUGCUAUGAACAUGGGUGGUCAAAUAUCUCUUUGAAACUCUGCUUUCCAUACGUUGCGGAAGCUUUUGAAACCAAGUAGAGAAAUCCAUACUGUUUCAGAUCCUCAACUGGGGGUAGUAAAAUGGUGGAAGGACUGCAGUUGGGACUAGAAGGUCAAUACAUGCUCCAUUUAUAGAAAGCACUUAUGGAGGCUGUAAGAUAUGCCAGGCCUUGUACUACUGCUUUGUGUAAAUUAACGAUAUGUCACUGAGUCCAAAAUAAACGUGAGCCAAUUGUUACCACAUGUUACUGUGAGAAAAUCAAGCUUCUGGGUUACAGAUGGGCUGAGGGGACGCUAACCAACCACACAUACACAGAAGUGGUUAGGAAACAACUCCCAUGGGAGCUGGGCAUCCGUGGCCCUGACUGUUUGCUGGUUUGUUCAAGGAUAUUGAAAGAAAACAGUUCACACGUAAAAGAAUAGGCUGACAUCAAGAGCUUUCACUGUCACAUCACUGGUAUGCCUAGGGGCUUAACAGCAAAACUGCGUUCCGAGGUCCCUAACAGAACCCUGCGGUUUGAAUUCAGGUCUGUUCGUUGCCUUUAAAAAGUAUAAAGUGCUGGGUAAGUACGUCCUUGUGUGUGAUACGGACGUUAGUGAGGCACAUCGUUCCCGACUCAGCUCUUCCUCUUUCACUUUACGUUCUCAGAAGUCCCGGGACAUCGUUCAAAGCAACGAUCUCCACUUGGCAGAUGAGGAGAUUGAGGGCCAGAAAGGAAAAUGAUUUGCCAGCCAUGGCUGAUUGGUACCAAGGCUGCAGCUGAAACCUGAACCUCCAGACUUCCCACUCUGUGCUUUGGGCUCCCUUACGAAGAUAGACGCCACAGUCUGAGCAUGUGAAGAAUACAGCAUCCCUCGAGUCCAGAGAUUUGAGAUCACCAGUGUUUAUCCAGCCAGCAUGAUGGCGAUGAGAGAAGAGAGAAACUUCAGAGCCAAGGAAGAUUUGUGCUAUGGAUAAACAGGAUGGCUCCAGUGAAUAUUUCUUAACUGCUCUGUGGUAUUGCACCGUAGGAAUGUUUUAGCAUUUACCUAAUCUCCUAUUGAUGGCCAUCUGAAUCUUCUAGCCUGUGAACCAACAGAAUAGUGGUGGUGCAGCACCACUUAAGACCGUGCUAAAAAUGCACUUGACGCAGCUGCAGUGAGAACACAGCCAGCGUCGCAGAACGUCCCCUAACAGCCUCCUGUCUGGUGCUCAGCUGUAAACUUCCCAUUGGUUGGCUGUUCCCACCUGGGACGACCACUUGACUUGUUCUUGACUUUCAUGAAGGAACCACUGUCUCACCCUGAAGCAUCUACUCAAACGCAAAAGGAGGUAUUAGCCAGGGCUCAAACGCUGCUGUGUCUUGUCAGCGUUAACUACAGUGCGUCUGUUUCCAGCACCGUGGCAGCAACUAGGACAAGGCUUUCUUGCUGAACCUGUAUAGUGACACAGUCCACACAGCUUCACUUGCUGUCAUUGCCUUUGUUAGGGACAGUUUCAAAGGCAGCAUUCCAAAUCAGAGAUCCUAAGCCAGAGGACGAAACGCACACACGGAGUACUGGAACCAUGAUCUCAGGCACAUGGAUAUAAGAGCCAGGUCAUUGAGACGCCACCAGCGGAGAGGUAGGAAUGCUCCUUAAUGGUGGAGGAACCUUUCCCAGGUGACACACCCCUUCCUCUCUCUGAGUCCCAACUUUUGUAGUGAUAACGCUGUCGCACAAAUACAGGAAGCCAUGACAGGUGUACCCUGUAAUUUGGGUAAAUUGUCUAAGUAUCCUUCUCAAGUGUCUGAGAGGCGUUAUGACCAAAUACGCCUUAGAUUACAACACAGGAGAGCAGAGAGAUUUUCCUUGAUGGAUCAGUUGAGAGAAAGAGUGUUAGUAGUCAUUUCCUGUGUCGUGGCACAAUCAGCGAUAUUUUAACUGGCUUCACAGAAAACUUAUCAUCCUGGAUGGCGUAAUUUUUACUGAUGAGGUUGUUAAUUGUGAGCUCGUCAGAAGCAAAAUUUAAUUUCCACGGAUGAAUCUUAUCAUAACUGGAGCUGGUGGGAUUUUUAGCAGAAAACUUCAAUAGAAGGGACCUCCUGGUAUCCAGGGAAGGGGCACAAACUCAGUUAGUUAUAUAUCCUAAGGCUCCUCCAGCCUUACUGAGUCCAACAGAUGUGUUAUCUAUACAAAGUCUAUCCCAGAAUUAGGAGAAUUGGGAUGGUCAUUUAAAAAACAAAAUGUUUUGUAAUUUAAAGUAGUUAACAAAAGAAAAUGUAAAUCAGUAGGCCUAUUUAUAGGUACUGAACUUGAUCCAAAGAGCUUGGGUUCAGCAGUCACUUCCACGCCGACCUCUGCUCUGGAGGAGGAAUGUGCUGGCAGUCCUGACUCAGCUGUUUGAUGCAGCCUGACAACCAUGUCUGCGCUGAUGUUUGUCCUGCCACGGUUCAACUUAUCAUUUCAUUCCCUAUAGGGUCCAUAAUCAAGAUUCCCUGGUGUGUCCUUUCAGACUUUAUGAUAUUUCUUCCAGGAAACUCAACCUCUGAUCUGGCGCUUCUAGAAAGGACCUGUAGGCAAAUGUAAGCAGAAAAAUUACAAACCAGCCUGUGGUUGAUAUGACUAAAUGGCUCUGGUUAAUUUUUAUAAUCAGCAUACAGAAUGGAGGGAAGUAGAAUCCUCUAUUAAGAUAUAAUACUUACGAUUUAUUCACUGUAUAAGGGUCUGGGAGCAUGGUUUUUCUGAACCUGAAAAGUAUAUAACCACUGAAACACACUUAUAUAAAUAACAAGUUACUUAUAUGUAAUUCAACUAGAAAGACUGAAGUUUUCUUUUGACAUUUUCAGGUUUUAAUAUUUUGGUUUGGUAAACAAAAUCACUCUCGUAUGAGUUUUCAGUUUUUUAAACCUGUGCUAUCUAAUAUAAUAGCCGCUAGCCACAUGUAGCUAUUUAAAAUUAAAUUAUUUAAAAUCAGAUAAAAUUAAAAAUUCAGUUCCUCAGACAUACUAGUCACAUUUCAAGUGCUCAACAACUACACGUGGCUGAUAGUUAUAGUAUUGGACAGUGCAGAUCUGGGACAUUUCCACUGUCUCAGAAAGCUCUAUUGGACAGUGCUAAUCUAGAGAAUGCCAUAUGAAUCUGGUUGUAUUCAUUGCCUCUCCUUUGUAAGAUGAAGAACCAAAUCUUGUGUUUCACCAUGGCUGCCCAGGAAACCCCAAAGAUAUUUUAGCUGUAAAAGACAUCUUAACAGUUUCAUGAUUGCAAAUUUGGGAAAGAGCAAUAUUAAAAAGAGUCAUCAGGAUAGAUUGGUCACAAAAACAAGAUGUUGUUGUCUUGGAACAGUUGCUGUCUUGGCUGUGUCAUUAAACAGAGUAACAAUAAAAUAUUUAAAAUAAAGAGAAGUUAAAAUAAUAAUCAUUAAAUUUAUUAGUUAUUCUUUUUUUUGGAUGAGGA